CCUACGGGUGGCAGCAGUGGGGAAUAUUGGGCAAUGGGCGCAAGCCUGACGCAGCAACGCCGCGUGAAGGAAGAAGGCUUUCGGGUUGUAAACUUCUUUUAGGAGGGAAGAGGAGAAGACGGUACCUCUUGAAUAAGCCACGGCUAACUACGUGCCAGCAGCCGCGGUAAUACGUAGGUUGCAAGCGUUGUCCGGAUUUACUGGGUGUAAAGGGCGUGUAGCCGGGCUGGCAAGUCAGAUGUGAAAUCCCGGGGCUCAACCCCGGACCUGCAUUGGGAACUGCUGGUCUUGAGUGCCGGAGAGGUAGGCGGAAUUCCUAGUGUAGCGGUGAAAUGCGUAGAUAUUAGGAGGAACACCAGUGGCGAAGGCGGCCUACUGGACGGCGACUGACGGUGAGGCGCGAAAGCGUGGGGAGCAAACAGGAUUAGAUACCCCAGUAGUC
RNAcentral lists this ribosomal RNA (442 nucleotides) under uncultured bacterium. RNAcentral describes it as "partial 16S ribosomal RNA". It matches the Rfam family "Bacterial small subunit ribosomal RNA", at positions 338 to 795 of the family's 1533-position model. The record is from RNAcentral.